AUUGAACGCUGGCGGCAUGCCUUACACAUGCAAGUCGAACGGUAACAGGUCUUCGGACGCUGACGAGUGGCGAACGGGUGAGUAAUACAUCGGAACGUGCCCAGUCGUGGGGGAUAACUACUCGAAAGAGUAGCUAAUACCGCAUACGAUCUGAGGAUGAAAGCGGGGGACAUUCGGGCCUCGCGCGAUUGGAGCGGCCGAUGGCCGAUUAGGUAGUUGGUGGGAUAAAAGCUUACCAAGCCGACGAUCUGUAGCUGGUCUGAGAGGCCGACCAGCCACACUGGGACUGAGACACGGCCCAGACUCCUACGGGAGGCAGCAGUGGGGAAUUUUGGACAAUGGGCGAAAGCCUGAUCCAGCAAUGCCGCGUGCAGGAUGAAGGCCUUCGGGUUGUAAACUGCUUUUGUACGGAACGAAAAAGCUCCUUCUAAUACAGGGGGCCCAUGACGGUACCGUAAGAAUAAGCACCGGCUAACUACGUGCCAGCCGCCGCAGUAA
Molecule: ribosomal RNA, 498 nt
Filed under: uncultured bacterium
Lineage: Bacteria
Description: partial 16S ribosomal RNA
Rfam family: Bacterial small subunit ribosomal RNA
Source: RNAcentral